UUGGAGGAAAUGGAGCUGGCCAUGGG
This 26-nucleotide non-coding RNA is filed under the name Macaca fascicularis (crab-eating macaque). The record is from RNAcentral. RNAcentral also lists the same sequence under 1 other name. Lineage: Eukaryota; Metazoa; Chordata; Mammalia; Primates; Cercopithecidae.